This is a non-coding RNA of Heligmosomoides polygyrus, 71 nucleotides long. The record is from Rfam. NCBI's taxonomy places the organism in Eukaryota, Metazoa, Nematoda, Chromadorea, Rhabditida, Heligmosomidae.
GCGCCGGUGGUAUAAAGCGAACAUCGCUACCCGGAAAGCAGAAGAUGCGGGUUCGAGUCCCGCCUGGCGCA